AUGCGAGCACAGGCUGAUCCUUGGUUCUCCGAAUACCUCCUACGGAUCGGCAAUGGAACAGAAGAGACAAUUGGCGACGACUAUGUGCGUCUCCCUGAUGACAUUGUGAUCGGCUAUACCAAGGAUGAGAAAGCUAUUAACACACUCAUCGACAAUGUCUUCCCAUCGUUGCAUGCUAAUGCUAGAUCGAGAGAGUAUAUGAGCACACGUGCUAUUCUUUCCACCAAGAACGAUCAUGUCGAUCACCUGAAUGACAAGAUGAUCUCUAGGUUUCCAGGCGAAGAAAAGUUAUACCAUAGUUAA
Molecule: ribosomal RNA, 303 nt
Filed under: Triticum aestivum (bread wheat)
Lineage: Eukaryota; Viridiplantae; Streptophyta; Magnoliopsida; Poales; Poaceae
Description: partial small subunit ribosomal RNA
Source: RNAcentral